Molecule: ribosomal RNA, 508 nt
Filed under: uncultured bacterium
Lineage: Bacteria
Description: partial 16S ribosomal RNA
Rfam family: Bacterial small subunit ribosomal RNA
Source: RNAcentral
UGGGGAAUUAUUGGACAAUGGGCGGAAGCCUGAUCCAGCAACGCCGCGUGAGGGAUGACGGCCUUCGGGUUGUAAACCUCUUUCAGUACCGACGAAGCGAAAGUGACGGUAGGUACAGAAGAAGGACCGGCCAACUACGUGCCAGCAGCCGCGGUAAUACGUAGGGUCCGAGCGUUGUUCCGGAAUUGAUUGGGCGUAAAUGGGCUCGUAGGCGGUUUGUCGCGUCGGGAGUGAAAACAGCGGGCUUAACUCAGUUGCUUGCUUUCGAUAACGGGCAGACUAGAGGUAUGCAGGGGGAGAAUGGAAUUCCUGGUGUAGCGGUGAAAAUGCGCAGAUAUCAGGAGGAACACCGGUGGCGAAGGCGGUUCUCUGGGCAUUACCUGACGCUGAGGAGCGAAAAGUGUGGGGGAAGCGAACAGGAUUAGAAUACCCUGUAGUCCACACCGUAAAACGUUGGGCGCUAGGUGUGGGGUCCUUUCCACGGAUUCCGUGCCGUAGCUAACGCAUU